RNAcentral lists this long non-coding RNA (1628 nucleotides) under Canis lupus familiaris (dog). RNAcentral describes it as "lncRNA (ENSCAFG00040011760.1)". Lineage: Eukaryota; Metazoa; Chordata; Mammalia; Carnivora; Canidae. The record is from RNAcentral.
AUGGUCCGCCUUUAUUUCUGCUCGUCAAGGCGACACACACGCACGGCGGAUGCUUUGGACGGGUUCCAGAGCGCUCUGGAGACCUGGGCCCGGGGCUGGGCGCCCGAGGAGCGCGUCUCCGGGCCGGCGGCUGCGGGAGCUGGCCCUGUCUGGACCCCCCCACGUGGACGCAGGGCCGGGCCUCCCUCGGCUCCGCGGCUCCCAGCAGAGGGACCCGGGGGCCUCGCACCCGCGCUCCCUCCCCUCGCCGCCCUCUGCCCCGGCGCCAGGCCGCCCUCAGGGCGGGAACUCGCGGGGCCUACACAGGCCCCGGGGCCGGGAGCCCCAGAUGCUGACGGGCAGGCCCCUCCAGGUGACCCCACUGCCUCAGCGUCCGCAGCAGACCUCCGGGCCUCAGCCCCUCGCCAGCGCCGUUCCCUGGUCUGGGGGCCGGUCGGUCGUGCCCCACACACGCAUCAGCACCUCAGCAGGUGCCCUGAUUGGAAAUGGGGUCCUGCGGGCAGCGGAGGUCGAGGAGAGGUCACGCUGGAGCCAGGCGGCACCACUGCAACGCGAUGGGUCCCCGCACAGGGGAUGUUGGGACAGACGCGCAGCAAUGCGGGGGACGGCGAGUGCCGCUGCAGCCACUCGGCCGCCAGCCCAGGAGCCUCCAAAGCCGGGCCUGGGGCUGGGACGGAGCCGACCCUGCCCCGCCCUGACCUCGCCGCUGGAGGAUGGACGUGCUGUGUGAGCCCCAGGACAGGAUCCGGGACGGCGCCUCCACUGAGGAUGGGGCGGCUCAGGGGCUGUCCCCGGGACGCUGUCAGGUGCAGAGUGAGGAGGCCUGCGCGGCAGGAGCGGGUGGGCGCCGGGGCCGGAGAGGGCGCGGUGGGGACGGGUGGGGACGUGGUGGUGACGCGGUGGGGACGCGGUGGGGACGCGGUGGUGACGUGGAGAGGACGCGGUGGGGACGCGGUGGGGACGGGUGGGGACGGGUGGGGACGCGGUGGUGACGCGGAGAGGAUGCGGUUGUGACGCAGUGGGGACACGGUGGGGACGGGUGGGGACGCGGUGGGGGUGGGUGGUGACAGGGUGGGGACGGGUGGGGACGGGUGGGGACGAGUGGUGACGUGGAGAGGACACGGUGGUGACGCGGUGGGGAUGCAGUGGGGACGGGUGGUGACGCGGUGGUGACGCGGAGAGGACACGGUGGUGACGCGGUGGGGACGCGGUGGGGACGGGUGGUGACGCGGUGGUGACGCGGAGAGGAUGCGGUAGUGACGCGAUGAUGACGCGGUGACGACGUAGUGAUGCCGCGGUGGUGACGCGGGGAGGACGCAGAGAUGACGUGGAGAUGCUGCUGUGAUGACGCGGUGAUGACGCGGUGAUGACGCAGAAAUGACGCAGGCCUCUCCUGGACCGGCCCCGGGCGGAAAGGGCCGCGGUGGGCUCCUCUGGGAGGGCCCCGUGGACUGAGGCCCCCGCCGCACCAGCAUUUGGUGAGCGCAGCACGGUCGGGGUCGGUCGUCGAUGGCGACAAAAGUCUGCGAAGAGCCGUGAGGCCUGCCCGGGGCCCACCUGAGGGCAGCGGACCUCAGUGUUGGGGGAAGCGCUGGGGCCAGACGACCUGCCCUCUCCGUGCCCCCCCC